GGUUGUGGCUCAGUGGUAGAGCACUUCCCUGACCCGGGUGAAGCACUGGGUUCAAACCUCAGCACCA
Molecule: transfer RNA, 67 nt
Filed under: Marmota marmota marmota (Alpine marmot)
Lineage: Eukaryota; Metazoa; Chordata; Mammalia; Rodentia; Sciuridae
Also listed under: 1 other name
Rfam family: tRNA
About the family: Transfer RNA (tRNA) molecules are approximately 80 nucleotides in length. Their secondary structure includes four short double-helical elements and three loops (D, anti-codon, and T loops).
Source: Rfam by way of RNAcentral